This 410-nucleotide long non-coding RNA is filed under the name Rosa chinensis. Its description in RNAcentral is "sRNA RchiOBHm_Chr1g0320681". Lineage: Eukaryota; Viridiplantae; Streptophyta; Magnoliopsida; Rosales; Rosaceae. The record is from RNAcentral.
GAUCCCGUCAACCACCCUUGCUAGCACAACAGCCUAGCCCAGAUCGGCAUUCGUCUCCCUCUCCAGACCGGCCCCAGCACUACCGCCAGCCAAAUCCACGGGCCUCACCUCACUGGCCAGACCUCCAUAUCCUUCUUACGGCCUCUUGCCCAGCAUGCACAUAGCCUUCGAUCAAGCCCUACCCGCACGGCCUCGCCUGCGCAGAUCCCAGCAGCCACAGCCCGGCCUCGACAUCCCUCUAGACCGGCUUCUAGCCUGCUCUACCCGCCUGACAGCAGCUCCGCGUCACUCGCUCAACGCGCGUCCUCCAGCGUAGCAGCCCCUUAGAGCGCCUCCUAGCCCAGCGCACGGCCUCACUCGUCGCUGCUACACGCCCAGCGAAUCCCGUCGCUCCCACCUGCAACCGAGCC